This 897-nucleotide ribosomal RNA is filed under the name Harknessia eucalyptorum. RNAcentral's name for it is "eukaryotic LSU rRNA". It matches the Rfam family "Eukaryotic large subunit ribosomal RNA", at positions 33 to 960 of the family's 3401-position model. Lineage: Eukaryota; Fungi; Ascomycota; Sordariomycetes; Diaporthales; Harknessiaceae. The record is from RNAcentral.
CUUAAGCAUAUCAAUAAGCGGAGGAAAAGAAACCAACAGGGAUUGCCCUAGUAACGGCGAGUGAAGCGGCAACAGCUCAAAUUUGAAAUCUGGCCUCGGCCCGAGUUGUAAUUUGCAGAGGAUGUUUCUGGCGCGGUGCCUUCCGAGUUCCCUGGAACGGGACGCCACAGAGGGUGAGAGCCCCGUAUGGUUGGACACCAAGCCUGUGUGAAACUCCUUCGACGAGUCGAGUAGUUUGGGAAUGCUGCUCUAAAUGGGAGGUAAAUCUCUUCUAAAGCUAAAUACCGGCCAGAGACCGAUAGCGCACAAGUAGAGUGAUCGAAAGAUGAAAAGCACCUUGAAAAGGGGGUUAAACAGUACGUGAAAUUGUUGAAAGGGAAGCGCUCAUGACCAGACUUGUGCCGGGCGGUUCAUCCGGGGUUCUCCCCGGUGCACUCCGCCCGGUUCAGGCCAGCAUCGGUUCUCGUUGGGGGAUAAGAACGGUAGGAACGUGGCCCUCCCUCGGGAGGGUGUUAUAGCCUGCCGUACGAUACCCUGACGGGGACCGAGGUUCGCGCUCCGCAAGGAUGCUGGCGUAAUGGUCAUCAGCGACCCGUCUUGAAACACGGACCAAGGAGUCGUCCAUUAGAGCGAGCGUUUGGGUGUAAAACCCGCACGCGUAAUGAAAGUGAAAUUAGGUGAGAGCUUCGGCGCAUCAUCGACCGAUCCUGAUGUUCUCGGAUGGAUUUGAGUAAGAGUUUUAGCGGACGGACCCGAAAGACAGUGAACUAUGCUUGUAUAGGGUGAAGCCAGAGGAAACUCUGGUGGAGGCUCGCAGCGGUUCUGACGUGCAAAUCGAUCGUCAAAUAUGAGCAUGGGGGCGAAAGACUAAUCGAACUGUCUAGUAGCUGGUUACCG